UUAAUGCGCGCAGCCUGAUCUAGCCAUGCCGCGUGAGUGAUGAAGGCCUUAGGGUCGUAAAGCUCUUUCGCCUGUGAUGAUAAUGACAGUAGCAGGUAAAGAAACCCCGGCUAACUCCGUGCCAGCAGCCGCGGUAAUACGGAGGGGGUUAGCGUUGUUCGGAAUUACUGGGCGUAAAGCGCGCGUAGGCGGAUUAGAAAGUUGGGGGUGAAAUCCCGGGGCUCAACCUCGGAACUGCCUCCAAAACUGCUAGUCUAGAGUUCGAGAGAGGUGAGUGGAAUUCCGAGUGUAGAGGUGAAAUUCGUAGAUAUUCGGAGGAACACCAGUGGCGAAGGCGGCUCACUGGCUCGAUACUGACGCUGAGGUGCGAAAGUGUGGGGAGCAAACAGGAUUAGAUACCCUGGUAGUCCACACCGUAAACGAUGAAUGCCAGUCGUCGGGUAGUAUACUAUUCGGUGACACACCUAACGGAUUAAGCAUUCCGCCUGGGGAGUACGGUCGCAAGAUUAAAACUCAAAGGAAUUGACGGA
RNAcentral lists this ribosomal RNA (530 nucleotides) under uncultured bacterium. RNAcentral's name for it is "bacterial SSU rRNA". It matches the Rfam family "Bacterial small subunit ribosomal RNA", at positions 368 to 917 of the family's 1533-position model. The record is from RNAcentral.